Haliotis rubra (blacklip abalone) is the source of this 251-nucleotide long non-coding RNA. RefSeq lists it as uncharacterized. NCBI's taxonomy places the organism in Eukaryota, Metazoa, Mollusca, Gastropoda, Lepetellida, Haliotidae. The transcript has 3 exons. The record is from RefSeq and is a predicted model, not a curated record.
UGUUGGAGGGUUUGGGACCGCAAACCAGUGAAAGCCUUUUUCAUCUUUACUUGGGACAGAUCAUGCGCUUGAGGUCACUGGCAGUUAAUCUGAUCAGCUCUGCGAAUUGGUAAAGCUACUUACUGAACAGAGCCCCUGCACCAGUGAUGGGCGCCAUUACCCUUGUGCUUCUUGUGACUGUUGCGGUGGAGGGAAGGUUAUUGUGUCCAGAAAUCGGUCUGCUUGGGGCUCCCACAAACCUGACCUGCAUA